Molecule: ribosomal RNA, 455 nt
Filed under: uncultured bacterium
Lineage: Bacteria
Description: bacterial SSU rRNA
Rfam family: Bacterial small subunit ribosomal RNA
Source: RNAcentral
AACGAACGCUGGCGGCGCGUCCUAAACAUGCAAGUCGAACGAUCUGUAGCAAUACAGGGAGUGGCGGACGGGUGAGGAACACGUAGGAAUCUACCUUGAAGAGCGGGACAACUUUGGGAAACCGGGGCUAAUACCGCAUAGUACAGAGAUGUUAAAGGGCUAGCAAUAGUCGCUUCGAGAUGAGCCUGCGGUCUAUCAGCUUGUUGGUGAGGUAAUGGCUCACCAAGGCUACGACGGAUAGCCGGUCUGAGAGGAUGAUCGGCCACACUGGCACUGAGACACGGGCCAGACUCCUACGGGAGGCAGCAGUUAAGAAUCUUGCGCAAUGGGGGAAACCCUGACGCAGCGACGCCGCGUGAAGGAUGAAGGCUUUCGGGUUGUAAACUUCGGUAGACUGGAAGAAGAAAUAACGUUCGUUGAGGGCGGUAUAGUGACGGUACCUGUCUGAAGCCCGG